Molecule: non-coding RNA, 25 nt
Filed under: Mus musculus (house mouse)
Lineage: Eukaryota; Metazoa; Chordata; Mammalia; Rodentia; Muridae
Source: RNAcentral
UGACGUCAACUCGGCCGAUGGGCUG